This 2787-nucleotide ribosomal RNA is filed under the name Escherichia coli. RNAcentral describes it as "bacterial LSU rRNA". It matches the Rfam family "Bacterial large subunit ribosomal RNA". The record is from RNAcentral. Lineage: Bacteria; Pseudomonadati; Pseudomonadota; Gammaproteobacteria; Enterobacterales; Enterobacteriaceae.
AGCGUACACGGUGGAUGCCCUGGCAGUCAGAGGCGAUGAAGGACGUGCUAAUCUGCGAUAAGCGUCGGUAAGGUGAUAUGAACCGUUAUAACCGGCGAUUUCCGAAUGGGGAAACCCAGUGUGUUUCGACACACUAUCAUUAACUGAAUCCAUAGGUUAAUGAGGCGAACCGGGGGAACUGAAACAUCUAAGUACCCCGAGGAAAAGAAAUCAACCGAGAUUCCCCCAGUAGCGGCGAGCGAACGGGGAGCAGCCCAGAGCCUGAAUCAGUGUGUGUGUUAGUGGAAGCGUCUGGAAAGGCGCGCGAUACAGGGUGACAGCCCCGUACACAAAAAUGCACAUACUGUGAGCUCGAUGAGUAGGGCGGGACACGUGGUAUCCUGUCUGAAUAUGGGGGGACCAUCCUCCAAGGCUAAAUACUCCUGACUGACCGAUAGUGAACCAGUACCGUGAGGGAAAGGCGAAAAGAACCCCGGCGAGGGGAGUGAAAAAGAACCUGAAACCGUGUACGUACAAGCAGUGGGAGCCUCUUAAUGGGGUGACUGCGUACCUUUUGUAUAAUGGGUCAGCGACUUAUAUUCUGUAGCAAGGUUAACCGAAUAGGGGAGCCGAAGGGAAACCGAGUCUUAACUGGGCGUUAAGUUGCAGGGUAUAGACCCGAAACCCGGUGAUCUAGCCAUGGGCAGGUUGAAGGUUGGGUAACACUAACUGGAGGACCGAACCGACUAAUGUUGAAAAAUUAGCGGAUGACUUGUGGCUGGGGGUGAAAGGCCAAUCAAACCGGGAGAUAGCUGGUUCUCCCCGAAAGCUAUUUAGGUAGCGCCUCGUGAAUUCAUCUCCGGGGGUAGAGCACUGUUUCGGCAAGGGGGUCAUCCCGACUUACCAACCCGAUGCAAACUGCGAAUACCGGAGAAUGUUAUCACGGGAGACACACGGCGGGUGCUAACGUCCGUCGUGAAGAGGGAAACAACCCAGACCGCCAGCUAAGGUCCCAAAGUCAUGGUUAAGUGGGAAACGAUGUGGGAAGGCCCAGACAGCCAGGAUGUUGGCUUAGAAGCAGCCAUCAUUUAAAGAAAGCGUAAUAGCUCACUGGUCGAGUCGGCCUGCGCGGAAGAUGUAACGGGGCUAAACCAUGCACCGAAGCUGCGGCAGCGACACUAUGUGUUGUUGGGUAGGGGAGCGUUCUGUAAGCCUGUGAAGGUGUACUGUGAGGUAUGCUGGAGGUAUCAGAAGUGCGAAUGCUGACAUAAGUAACGAUAAAGCGGGUGAAAAGCCCGCUCGCCGGAAGACCAAGGGUUCCUGUCCAACGUUAAUCGGGGCAGGGUGAGUCGACCCCUAAGGCGAGGCCGAAAGGCGUAGUCGAUGGGAAACAGGUUAAUAUUCCUGUACUUGGUGUUACUGCGAAGGGGGGACGGAGAAGGCUAUGUUGGCCGGGCGACGGUUGUCCCGGUUUAAGCGUGUAGGCUGGUUUUCCAGGCAAAUCCGGAAAAUCAAGGCUGAGGCGUGAUGACGAGGCACUACGGUGCUGAAGCAACAAAUGCCCUGCUUCCAGGAAAAGCCUCUAAGCAUCAGGUAACAUCAAAUCGUACCCCAAACCGACACAGGUGGUCAGGUAGAGAAUACCAAGGCGCUUGAGAGAACUCGGGUGAAGGAACUAGGCAAAAUGGUGCCGUAACUUCGGGAGAAGGCACGCUGAUAUGUAGGUGAAGUCCCUUGCGGAUGGAGCUGAAAUCAGUCGAAGAUACCAGCUGGCUGCAACUGUUUAUUAAAAACACAGCACUGUGCAAACACGAAAGUGGACGUAUACGGUGUGACGCCUGCCCGGUGCCGGAAGGUUAAUUGAUGGGGUUAGCGGUAACGCGAAGCUCUUGAUCGAAGCCCCGGUAAACGGCGGCCGUAACUAUAACGGUCCUAAGGUAGCGAAAUUCCUUGUCGGGUAAGUUCCGACCUGCACGAAUGGCGUAAUGAUGGCCAGGCUGUCUCCACCCGAGACUCAGUGAAAUUGAACUCGCUGUGAAGAUGCAGUGUACCCGCGGCAAGACGGAAAGACCCCGUGAACCUUUACUAUAGCUUGACACUGAACAUUGAGCCUUGAUGUGUAGGAUAGGUGGGAGGCUUUGAAGUGUGGACGCCAGUCUGCAUGGAGCCGACCUUGAAAUACCACCCUUUAAUGUUUGAUGUUCUAACGUUGGCCCCUUACCGGGGUUGCGGACAGUGUCUGGUGGGUAGUUUGACUGGGGCGGUCUCCUCCUAAAGAGUAACGGAGGAGCACGAAGGUUGGCUAAUCCUGGUCGGACAUCAGGAGGUUAGUGCAAUGGCAUAAGCCAGCUUGACUGCGAGCGUGACGGCGCGAGCAGGUGCGAAAGCAGGUCAUAGUGAUCCGGUGGUUCUGAAUGGAAGGGCCAUCGCUCAACGGAUAAAAGGUACUCCGGGGAUAACAGGCUGAUACCGCCCAAGAGUUCAUAUCGACGGCGGUGUUUGGCACCUCGAUGUCGGCUCAUCACAUCCUGGGGCUGAAGUAGGUCCCAAGGGUAUGGCUGUUCGCCAUUUAAAGUGGUACGCGAGCUGGGUUUAGAACGUCGUGAGACAGUUCGGUCCCUAUCUGCCGUGGGCGCUGGAGAACUGAGGGGGGCUGCUCCUAGUACGAGAGGACCGGAGUGGACGCAUCACUGGUGUUCGGGUUGUCAUGCCAAUGGCACUGCCCGGUAGCUAAAUGCGGAAGAGAUAAGUGCUGAAAGCAUCUAAGCACGAAACUUGCCCCGAGAUGAGUUCUCCCUGACUCCUUGA